UAAUGAAGUACUUAAAGUGACUGAAACUU
Molecule: non-coding RNA, 29 nt
Filed under: Rattus norvegicus (Norway rat)
Lineage: Eukaryota; Metazoa; Chordata; Mammalia; Rodentia; Muridae
Source: RNAcentral